UCCGCGUACUCAUGUACAAGUCCCUCGGAGGACAAAGCCUUCAUGGCUAUAACCUCCAUGUUAAUCACGACAAAAAAAAAAGUAGCGACACGCUUUUCCGGUGCAUUUGCCGACAAUCUAGCGCUCCCAUAGGCUGCUCUGUAUCACGUGACCCCCUUUCCGCCAUUUUUGUGCAAAGAAAGCCGUGUGUGUAUAUGUCAGUGCAUUCUAUAUAGUCAACAAAGUGUAAUUAUUGCAAUUUUUUGUCAAUAUGACGGGCUGUUGUGCAGUUAAAUAUAAAGGGAAAUCAAAAGCGCGAUUGUUUACCAUUCCAUCGGGCAAAAGGAACGAAGAAAGAAGAAAAAUUGGCUUCAUAGAAUAGAGAGAAAAAAUUUUGUUGCGACGAGAUCGACAAGGCUCUGCAUGGUAAGACCUCAGUGAAGUUAGCACCAACUUCUAG
This 439-nucleotide long non-coding RNA is filed under the name Androctonus crassicauda. Lineage: Eukaryota; Metazoa; Arthropoda; Arachnida; Scorpiones; Buthidae. The record is from RNAcentral.